GCCGAGGUGGCGCAACCUGGUUCACGGAGUCUGCUCAUAAAAGGAUGUCUGGGUUCGAAUCCCAGCCUCGGCG
This 73-nucleotide transfer RNA is filed under the name Candidatus Woesearchaeota archaeon CG1_02_47_18. RNAcentral describes it as "tRNA-Met". It matches the Rfam family "tRNA". From Rfam's summary of the family: Transfer RNA (tRNA) molecules are approximately 80 nucleotides in length. Their secondary structure includes four short double-helical elements and three loops (D, anti-codon, and T loops). Lineage: Archaea; Nanobdellati; Candidatus Woesearchaeota. The record is from RNAcentral. RNAcentral also lists the same sequence under 2 other names.